GAUGAACGCUGGCGGCGUGCCUAAUACAUGCAAGUCGAGCGAACAGACGAGGAGCUUGCUCCUCUGACGUUAGCGGCGGACGGGUGAGUAACACGUGGAUAACCUACCUAUAAGACUGGGAUAACUUCGGGAAACCGGAGCUAAUACCGGAUAAUAUAUUGAACCGCAUGGUUCAAUAGUGAAGGAUGGUUUUGCUGUCACUUAUAGAUGGAUCCGCGCCGCAUUAGCUAGUUGGUAAGGUAACGGCUUACCAAGGCAACGAUGCGUAGCCGACCUGAGAGGGUGAUCGGCCACACUGGAACUGAGACACGGUCCAGACUCCUACGGGAGGCAGCAGUAGGGAAUCUUCCGCAAAGGGCGAAAGCCUGACGGAGCAACGCCGCGUGAGUGAUGAAGGUCUUCGGAUCGUAAAACUCUGUUAUUAGGGAAGAACAAAUGUGUAAGUAACUAUGCACGUCUUGACGGUACCUAAUCAGAAAGCCACGGCUAACUACGUG
RNAcentral lists this ribosomal RNA (497 nucleotides) under uncultured bacterium. Its description in RNAcentral is "partial 16S ribosomal RNA". It matches the Rfam family "Bacterial small subunit ribosomal RNA", at positions 28 to 507 of the family's 1533-position model. The record is from RNAcentral.